CUUGAUGUGCUCGUUGUUAAAAUUAAUUAAAAAGUGUUAAAUACGCGUAAAUUUAUUGUAAAAUUAAUAAAUAAAUACAUUUUAACAUUUUCUUAAUAAGUUUUUAACAUUUUCUUAUGAAUUUAUCAGAGUUUAUUAAGUGAAAAGUGUUUUGCAAAUUUUUCUUUGGCAAACUGUUGCUCUUGUUGUUGUCGUCAAUGAACGCCAUUAUAUGCAGCUAAGCCGGUGCUGUUGUUGUAAUGACAUUUUCUAUUUGUUUUUUUUGUAGUUAAAUUCGUUAUAACGGUAUUCUUUAGUGACGAAAUGUGUGUGAUAAGAAAGUGGUGAAGAACAAGUAGGAAUUUUAAAGAAUUGCAAAUAAACUUUAGUUUUGUAUCGAUAAAAAAGCUUUUUUUAUAAAGCUGUUUUUUGUGGAAGGUGGUUUAUAGGUAAAAGCUGUUUUUUUUAAAUGUUAAAUGUUAUGAAUGCAGUGAUAAGAGUCGCUAAGGAAUUGGAUCACCUUAAAUAAUUUGACUCAAACUGUAAAUAUAAAAAAAAAUUUCAUCUCAG
Long non-coding RNA from Lucilia cuprina (Australian sheep blowfly), 549 nucleotides. RefSeq lists it as uncharacterized. Lineage: Eukaryota; Metazoa; Arthropoda; Insecta; Diptera; Calliphoridae. The transcript has 3 exons. The record is from RefSeq and is a predicted model, not a curated record.